This 221-nucleotide long non-coding RNA is filed under the name Populus tremula. Its description in RNAcentral is "long non-coding RNA (PTRE_LNC002575)". Lineage: Eukaryota; Viridiplantae; Streptophyta; Magnoliopsida; Malpighiales; Salicaceae. The record is from RNAcentral.
CAUUCAAGCAGAUUCAAGAGUCAAAAAAUUUAAUAGCAUCCUAUCUGCUGCAAUUAUAAGACUGCUGAAUAAAACAACAGUACAAAAACUCAUCAACAGGUUCUUCAGGCCUCUGUUACAGGGAAAUCAAAAACCACAUCUUUCCCUGUAAGCUUCCUGUAAACUCCAGCAUACGACUCCAGCUUAUACUCGGUGUUGUUGCGCUCCUUAGGAUCCAAGAA